AGUGAACGCUGGCGGUAGGCCUAACACAUGCAAGUCGAACGGCAACACAGUAAGAUCUUGCUCUUACGGGUUGCGAGUGGCGUACGUGAGAGGAAUACAUCGUAAUCUUCUUUUUCGUGGAGGAUAACGUAGGUAAACUUACGCUAAUACCGCAUACCACGUACGGGUGAAAGCAGUGGAUCUUCUGACCUUUCGCGGUUGAAUUAGCCGAUGUCGGAUUAGCUAGUUGGCGGGGUAAAGGCCCACUCAGUCGACGAUCCGUAGCUCGUCUGAGAGGAUGAUCAGCCACACUGGAACGGAAACAGGGUCAAGGCUACUAAGGUAGGCAGCAGUGGGGAAUAUUAGACAAUGGGCGCAAGCAUGAUACAGCCAUACGGAGUGGGUGGAGAAGGCGUUCGGGUUGUAAAGCCCUUUUGCUGGGAAAAAAAAGCAGCAGGUUAAUACCCAGCUGUUCUGACGGUAAUCAAAGAAUAAGCACCGGCUAACUUCGUG
This 492-nucleotide ribosomal RNA is filed under the name uncultured bacterium. RNAcentral's name for it is "partial 16S ribosomal RNA". It matches the Rfam family "Bacterial small subunit ribosomal RNA", at positions 29 to 507 of the family's 1533-position model. The record is from RNAcentral.